Non-coding RNA from Cajanus cajan (pigeon pea), 211 nucleotides. NCBI's taxonomy places the organism in Eukaryota, Viridiplantae, Streptophyta, Magnoliopsida, Fabales, Fabaceae. The record is from RefSeq and is a predicted model, not a curated record.
CUAUGGCCACCUUCUAUUUCGGUGAUUUUUUUUAGUCGAUAGUAAUGGCAACGUUCCGUUUCCGUGAUUGUUCUUUUCAUCUCUCAUUCUGCUCUUUUAUUCUUCACGAUCGGAAGCCACACACACUUGCAUUGUGACCUAGUUUUCGAAGCGUUCAAGUAGCUAAACAUCUGUAGGAUUCCUUGUGUUCAUUCUUCAAUUUAAUUUUCGG